AUUGUGCGACACACAAGGACAGACGAUUCGAUAGUGAAUUCAGGGUAUUUAACGGAGACAGAGAUGCACAUACAAAACUGUGCACAUUUGUUAGUGAACUGUUCCUUACGCUGAACUGAUAUUGUUAAAAGAAUCGCAAGAGAAAUAAAUCAACAUUCUUUCGAGGCGUGGGAAGAUUUACUUCUUUCUCGAGGAAGCCGGCCCUGAGAGCGAUCUGGUUCUCCUUCAUGCGACGUGCAUCCCGCGAUCGUUUCGCUGCCAUAUUAUUCUUCCUACGACGCGCCCAGUAUUUGUCAUCCUUCAGGUCAUCCGGAACGAACUGUAGCCGGUAGCGGAGCAUGGAAAAGAGCAGGAAAUUAGAACGAACGUAGAAAUUGACGUAUUUUAAAACUAUAAUGAGGAAUUGUAAAGAAAAACCAAAACCCACUCUGAUUUCUUAAUGGAUAUUGAAAAUCCUAUUAAAGAUCAUAGAGUGGUUGUUAAAUCUUACAAAUUGAAUUUCAAUAAAUUAUUUAUAUAGCUCUAAGAGAUAAAAAUAAAAGAAUUAGUUGUACAGUA
Molecule: long non-coding RNA, 558 nt
Organism: Bombus terrestris (buff-tailed bumblebee)
Lineage: Eukaryota; Metazoa; Arthropoda; Insecta; Hymenoptera; Apidae
Exons: 2
Source: RefSeq, a predicted model, not a curated record